GGGGAUUUAGCUUAGUGGUAGAGCGCUUGCCUAGCAAGCGCAAGGCCCUGGGUUCGGUUCCCAGCUCCG
RNAcentral lists this transfer RNA (69 nucleotides) under Rattus norvegicus (Norway rat). It matches the Rfam family "tRNA". From Rfam's summary of the family: Transfer RNA (tRNA) molecules are approximately 80 nucleotides in length. Their secondary structure includes four short double-helical elements and three loops (D, anti-codon, and T loops). Further hydrogen bonds mediate the characteristic L-shaped molecular structure. tRNAs have two regions of fundamental functional importance: the anti-codon, which is responsible for specific mRNA codon recognition, and the 3' end, to which the tRNAs corresponding amino acid is attached (by aminoacyl-tRNA synthetases). tRNAs cope with the degeneracy of the genetic code in two manners: having more than one tRNA (with a specific anti-codon) for a particular amino acid; and 'wobble' base-pairing, i.e. permitting non-standard base-pairing at the 3rd anti-codon position. Lineage: Eukaryota; Metazoa; Chordata; Mammalia; Rodentia; Muridae. The record is from Rfam by way of RNAcentral.